GUUCACUUUAGCAGCACAUAUACCAAAGUUGGAAUGAUACUGAAAAGUUGGGCAUGUUCCCUGCAAAAGAAUGAUGUAUAAAUUCAUGAACAUUACUUAUUUUUA
Molecule: small nuclear RNA, 105 nt
Organism: Monodelphis domestica (gray short-tailed opossum)
Lineage: Eukaryota; Metazoa; Chordata; Mammalia; Didelphimorphia; Didelphidae
Source: Ensembl